UGGCCCCGGCCGAGGGGAGGCCCUAGCACAGGUGCUGCAUGGCCGUCGUCAGCUCGUGCCGUGAGGUGUUGGGUUAAGUCCCGCAACGAGCGCAACCCCGCCGUUAGUUGCCAGCGGUUCGGCCGGGCACUCUAACGGGACUGCCGCGAAAGCGGGAGGAAGGAGGGGACGACGUCUGGUCAGCAUGGCCCUUACGGCCUGGGCGACACACGUGCUACAAUGCCCACUACAAAGCGAGGCCACCCGGCAACGGGGAGCUAAUCGCAAAAAGGUGGGCCCAGUUCGGAUUGGGGUCUGCAACCCGACCCCAUGAAGCCGGAAUCGCUAGUAAUCGCGGAUCAGCCAUGCCGCGGUGAAUACGUUCCCGGGCCUU
This 373-nucleotide ribosomal RNA is filed under the name uncultured Thermus sp. RNAcentral describes it as "bacterial SSU rRNA". It matches the Rfam family "Bacterial small subunit ribosomal RNA", at positions 1012 to 1382 of the family's 1533-position model. Lineage: Bacteria; Thermotogati; Deinococcota; Deinococci; Thermales; Thermaceae. The record is from RNAcentral.